RNAcentral lists this ribosomal RNA (467 nucleotides) under uncultured bacterium. RNAcentral's name for it is "partial 16S ribosomal RNA". It matches the Rfam family "Bacterial small subunit ribosomal RNA", at positions 28 to 507 of the family's 1533-position model. The record is from RNAcentral.
GAUGAACGCUGGCGGCGUGCUUAACACAUGCAAGUCGACCGGAAAGGCUCCUGCUUGCAGGGGUACUCGAGUGGCGAACGGGUGAGUAACACGUGGGUGAUCUGCCCUGCACUUCGGGAUAAGCCUGGGAAACUGGGUCUAAUACCGGAUAGGACCACAUUUUGGAUGGUGUGGUGGAAAGUUUUUCGGUGUGGGAUGAGCUCGCGGCCUAUCAGCUUGUUGGUGGGGUAAUGGCCUACCAAGGCGUCGACGGGUAGCCGGCCUGAGAGGGUGUACGGCCACAGUGGGACUGAGAUACGGCCCAGACUCCUACGGGAGGCAGGAGUGGGGAAUAUUGCACAAUGGGCGCAAGCCUGAUGCAGCGACGCCGCGUGGGGGAUGACGGCCUUCGGGUUGUAAACUCCUUUCGCUAGGGACGAAGCGUUUUUGUGACGGUACCUGGAGAAGAAGCACCGGCUAACUACGUG